UACAUUUGAAGUCUCGGAGCCGGGUGUUGGUUCCGGUAGCGAUCGAGGGAAAUUAGUACCGAAGUCCGGGAUGGAAGAUGGCGAGAAAAGCUGUGUAUAUUUCUGCGGUGCCCGUACCGCAAACCGACACAGGUAGGUAGGAAGAAGAUUCUAAGGCCAACGGGAGAAGGGUUGUUAAGGAACUCGGCAAAUUGACCCCGUAACUUCGGGAGAAGGGGUGCUCUAGAGAUAGAGCCGCAGAGAAUCGGCCCAAGCAACUGUUUACCAAAAACACAGGUUUGUGCUAAAUCGAAAGAUGACGUAUACGAGCUGACGCCUGCCCGGUGCUGGAAGGUUAAGAGGAGAUGUGCAAGCAUUGAAUCGAAGCCCCAGUGAACGGCGGCCGUAACAAUAACGGUCCUAAGGUAGCGAAAUUCCUUGUCAGGUAAGUUCUGACCCGCAUGAAAGGCGUAAUGAUUUGGGCACUGUCUCGACAGCCCGCCCGGCGAAAUUGUAGUACCGGUGAAGAUGCCGGUUACCCGCGACAAAACGGAAAGACCCCAUGGAGCUUUACUGUAGCCUAAUAUUGGGUUUCGAUGUUGCAUGCACAGGAUAGAUGGGACACUGGGAAGCAAGUGCUUUGGCAUUUGUGGAGUGGCCGUUGGGAUACCAUCCUUGCGAUAUUGGAAUUCUAACCUGCGCCUUUGAAUCAAGGCGGGGGACAUUGUUAGGUGGGCAGUUUGACUGGGGCGGUCGCCUCCUAAAGAGUAACGGAGGCGUUCAAAGGUUCGCUCAGCUUGAACGGAAAUCAAGCAAAAGAGUGCAAACGCAGAAGCGAGCCUAACUGCGAGACUGACGGGUCGAGCAGUAACGAAAGUUGGAGUUAGUGAUCCGGUGGUAUGAGAGUGGAAAUGCCAUUGCUCAACGGAUAAAAGUUACCCUGGGGAUAACAGGCUGAUCUCCCCCAAGAGUCCACAUCGACGGGGAGGUUUGGCACCUCGAUGUCGGCUCAUCGCAUCCUGGGGCUGUAUUCGGUCCCAAGGGUUUGGCUGUUCGCCAAUUAAAGCGGUACGCGAGCUGGGUUCGGAACGUCGUGAGACAGUUCGGUCCCUAUCUGUCGUGGGCGCAGGAUAUUUGAUGGGAGCUGUUCCUAGUACGAGAGGACCGGAGCGGACGUACCUCUAGCGCACCAGUUGUUCUGCCAAGGGCAUAGCUGGGCAACUAUGUACGGAUCGGAUAAACGCUGAAAGCAUCUAAGCGUGAAGCCGACCCAAAGAUAAGAUAUCCCAUUGUUUCAAACAAGUAAGACCCCUUGAAGACUACAAGGUUGAUAGGCACGAUGUGUAAGUGGAGUGAUCCAUUCAGCAAGCGUGUACUAAUAGGUCGAGGGCUUGACC
RNAcentral lists this ribosomal RNA (1376 nucleotides) under metagenome. RNAcentral describes it as "bacterial LSU rRNA". It matches the Rfam family "Bacterial large subunit ribosomal RNA", at positions 1512 to 2925 of the family's 2925-position model. The record is from RNAcentral.